RNAcentral lists this ribosomal RNA (305 nucleotides) under uncultured bacterium. RNAcentral describes it as "bacterial SSU rRNA". It matches the Rfam family "Bacterial small subunit ribosomal RNA", at positions 334 to 637 of the family's 1533-position model. The record is from RNAcentral.
UUGACCUCGGGACGCAUCAGUGAGGAAUAUUGGUCAAUGGACGAGAGUCUGAACCAGCCAAGUAGCGUGAAGGAUGACUGCCCUAUGGGUUGUAAACUUCUUUUAUAUGGGAAUAAAAUGUUCCACGUGUGGGAUUUUGUAUGUACCAUAUGAAUAAGGAUCGGCUAACUCCGUGCCAGCAGCCGCGGUAAUGCGGAGGAUCCGAGCGUUAUCCGGAUUUAUUGGGUUUAAAGGGAGCGUAGGUGGAUUGUUAAGUCAGUUGUGAAAGUUUGCGGCUCAACCGUAAAAUUGCAGUUGAAACUGGC